UGUUUUGUUAGCAAUCAACAGUUAAUUGUUAUUAUUUCAAAGUUGUUACAAAAAAUUUUACAUUCUCUGAUUAAAAAAGUGUAACUUGAAUCAUUUUUGAAGGAUUUUGCUGAGAGAUUCGAAAGAAAAUGGAUCAAUCUGAUUAAAUGCAGAAUGAUUAAGUCUACGUUCUAUAUAUUUUCAUCAUUUUGGUCAAUUUUACGUUUACAUCUUUUGGAUUCAUCUGUAUUUAUGGCUGAAUUGAUUGAUUAAAAGUGACAAGUAGAGUGACAUUUUUCUCAAAGUCAAUGUAGAUGUACUCUUCAUGGCAAACUGUCAAUAUUACGAGCCAAGAUCAAUCUUUGCAAUGCUAUAAGUUUAAUCUUGUUUUAUGGUUAACAAUGAACUGUAGAUGAUUUUUUUGGACUACCUUUUCAAUUGCUCAAGAUGUUACAGAAGCCAACAAACAGCCAACCUUGCACAAUAAACUAGCGGAUUCAGUUAACUCUUCAAAGGUGUUAGUCAGACCUACUCAAGUUGAGAUCUUUGUUGGUCCAUUGGCGGGUAAAAAAAUGCACUGUCGAUCCUGGGACAACUAAUGAUGGUGAUGAUAAUGAUGAUGAAUAUACAAAAGAUGAUAAUACUUGUGUUGCUGCUUUGAAUCAGAGUAGAGUGCAGUUACCGCCAAAUGAUUGUUUCUUAUGCUUCAAUGACCAAGGGUGAAAUGAAAAAGGAAAGGAAAGGCAUAAGAAGAAAGACAAUAAAUACUUUCUCUACAACACAUGUUGAUGUAACAAAAGUCAAGCUAACUCUUCAUCCAAGUCUGGAAAUUUGAAUGGACCAUGAAAAAGGACAGCAAUUGAAUAAACUGACUCAAAUGGACUUACAGAUGAUAAAGUGAUAUCUUGCUCGUAUUGCACUGAUUCUGGAAUCGUAUUGAUGAAUGUAUUUCUGGUUUAAAUUGAUGUUAAGCUUCAAGAACCAGUUGAAUCAGGUCUUAUCGUUAUUCCUCUCCAUGCUCUUUCAACAUUCUUGCCCUUCUCUUACAAUUAUCAUCAUCAUCAAAGCAUCAUCAUCCCCCCAUCAUCAUGAUCAUUUGAUUUCUCCUCUUUUCUCAAUGUAAACCAGUAGCCCGGGUUAUAACCAGUCAACUCUUGUUAAUGGUAAUUGCAAUUGAUACUGAUUUGCCUUAAGAAUUUUAUUCUUUCUUGUUUUUAAUUUUGUCGUUUUGACGAUUUACUGGUUAACUGGUGGGGAGAAGGUCAAAAUUUAGGUCAUGAUCAGGUCAGAUUCGUGUUAUCUCAUAUCUUUAAGAAGGCGAAGUAGAGAGUGAUAGAUUGAACAAUCUUGAUUAAUCUAUUUAUUGUCGUUCAAUUGCCAUUUUCCCUAGCCAUAUUCAAGUUAUUCAAAUGAAGCAACAGAUUUAUUCACUGGUUAUAAUGAUAGUUUUAUAAUGAAAUUAAUCUUUAAAGUUAAUUAUUGGUUUUACAUUUCAUGCAGAUUAUCUAGAUUGAGCUCCACUCUAAUCAAAAUCACAUUGAAUCAAUGAUAAUGCCUAUCCAAUACAUUUGGCGUUGAUGAUAAUAAUGAAGUGAAAACCCAAAUCAGCUAUUGACUCUUUUCAACAAUCUAACCCUUGAACAAAAUGUUGACAAUUAAGUAGGGAGGUUUAGUGAUGCUGAAGAAAGAUUUAAUAUUAGUUUUUCAUUUUGAAAAUUGAUUGAAGAGGUUCAACUAUAUUCUGAGCUAAAUUCAUUUAUUUAGGACAUUGAAGGGAAAAGGUUUAACCAGAUUAAGAUUGCUGUUGAAGGCCAAGUUUUGAUUAACUCUUACAAAAAGUGCAUUCACAUAAAUCGAUUUAGAUUAACGUUUCUGCUCAACUUUUACACAAUUUAAUGUAAAUCAAUCCCAAUCAAUAGCAAUUCACAAUCAGAGUUGAUCACAAUUUCAACUUGCGCAAAGCCUUAGCAAGUUUGAAAUCGUAGCAUCAAAGAGACUCUUCAAACCAGGUUUCAAAAGCCAAGAGUUACAAAAAAAACAUAGCAAAAUGAGCAAAAAGUGAAUGAAUAGAAACGACGAUAAUGAUGAUAAUGGUAAUGACAAUGAUGAUGAGAUGUGAUGAUUGCAUUUCUGUGUCGCAUUAUUAUGCAUGUACAGAUUACCUGUUUUUUACCUCAAUGAUUAUUUCUUGAAAAUGGUUCUUCCUGUAAUUAUGACUACCCUUACAAGUAAAUUUGCUGCCUAUCAUUUUUAUUAUUAGUUUCCUUCCCCACUUCCAUUUCUACCUUUCCAUUCAACUUCGUCUCUCACUUUUCCUCUGGAUUAUUAACUGACUUUACUUGUUAAAACAGGAGCUCAUAAUUACAGGGUCCAACCAUAUUACCUAAUUUUGUGACAAUCAGCAUGAAACAGUCUUUUAAAAUCUCAACCUUUUCUAGUAUUGUAGAGCCUUCUUUUUGUGGACAAUUUUCCAUUCAUCUUUACCAUCUUUCUUGUUGUCAGUCUUUUAAUUUGCUUUUUUUUCUUCUUCUUCUUCCAGCCUCCUUCAAUUAAGCCUCGGAUCUUAACCAUGUUUGGGUCAACGGUUUACGAGUUUUGGUCUGAAACCAUUUUGACAACUUUGACUUUACCAUUAGAGUUGUGCUGUUUACUUUGCUUCUCUGUCUUCCCUCACCAUUACACUGCUUUAUGUACUAGGUUUAGUUGACUUUCAACUUGUAUGGAUGGACGGUAAAAAAGCAGCCUUGCCUUAGGCUAACUUGAACGCUUGAGAAACUAAUUUCAAGACCUGGAUCAACACAAAAAAAUAGGAAAAACAAAUUUCAUUUGGUCAUUAAAUUUUACAAGUGAAUGGCGUUUGAUGAGGAUUGUUACCAGAAGAGCGGAAAAACAAAUUGCCAAAACCAGUGGCAGUCAAGAUUCAAGGCAAAGAAGAUGACUUUAAACCUGAUGGGAUACCAGUAGAGAUGAACCUGUCAAAUAAUCACGUAUACAAUUCGCAAAACGUUUAUCGCCAAUUGAUCAUCACUUUCAACAUUUCAUUGAUUACUCUUUGCCAAAUGCAUAAUUAACCUUUUCGAGCUGAAAAAAAUCACAGUUACCAACACACAAUUUAUGUAUAUAUUUAUGGCUAAUUUAUAAAUAUAUAUGUAAUACGUGUGUAAAUUCAUUAGUCCUUGUUUCUGUUUUCACUGACCCAAGCAGAGAAGAGUCAGAAGGAGGAAAAAAACGAAACAGUGUGAGAAAAUAUAUGUUAAAAUGUUACAAAUGAUGAUCAAUGAAAUUAAUUAAUCUACGUUUUUAUAAUGAUUGGAGCUUUUGAAAGUCUCUCAUUCUCCCUAGUCAGUCAAUAAUCAUUAUCCAUCCCCAUGAAACAUCAUUAUCAACACCAUCAACAAAAGCAACUGUGCAAGGUCGAUUAUUAUGGACAAUCGUUUUCAUGAUCCUUGAACUGUAAAAAUGUUGCCUUUUUUGCUGAUAAUACUUAGCAAUUGGAUCAAAACAAAGAGAGAAAGAUAUAAAUUUCAAGAAAUGGACUCAACCCGUUUCCAGGAGAGAAGGGCAAAAAAGCCAUGAUGAUGAUAAUCAUGAAUAGUGACGGUCGUUCAUUCAACUAAUCCUUCUUUAUUAUUUGAAGAAUGGUGGAAACAAGAAAUAUCCGCCCAGAAUUUUCUUCUAAAGAAAUUAAUUCAUGGUAUUCAUCCUGCUUCAAGGAAAUUGAAAUUGACUCGAGGAUAAUUCAACACUACUGGCUAUACCCAAUUGUGGGUUGAAAUUGAUUUACCAAGGAUUCUUGGGAUUAAAACAAGCCAAUAGAUUCGGUAUAUUCCUGUUUCCAAUAGAUUCUGGUUUUACAAUUUCUGGUCUUCCAUUUACACAA
Molecule: non-coding RNA, 3859 nt
Organism: Tetranychus urticae (two-spotted spider mite)
Lineage: Eukaryota; Metazoa; Arthropoda; Arachnida; Trombidiformes; Tetranychidae
Source: RefSeq, a predicted model, not a curated record